UGACACAAUUUUUUAAUGGAUAAGAUUUUAAUACACAUUUCACAAAGAAAGCUGUAUGAAUGAUCAAUAAGAAUUGUACAUUAAAAAGCAUUCCAUAUCACCAGUUAAAAUUGCAGGGAUAUACUACCAUACAACAAUCAGAAUGGCUAAAAUUUUAGAAACUGAUAAUAACAAAUGUUGGCAAGGAUGUGAAGCACCUAGAACUCAUUGUUGAUAAGCAUGAAAUGGUACAACCACCAUGGAAAAAGAUCUGGCAAGUGUCUUAUAAAACUAAACAUACACCAACAUAUAACCUAUAACUCAGCAAUUCCACUCCCAGAUUAUUUACCCAAGAGAAAUGAAAACAUACGUCCGCAAAAAGACUUGUAAAAAUAUUUAUAGCAGCUUUAUUCAUAAUAGCUCCAAACUAGAAAUGGUCCUUGUGUUCCGUCAAUGGAAGAAUAAACAAACUGUUGUGUAUCUAUGCAUUGGAAUUCAAUGCAGUAAUUUUUUUAAAGGCACUAUUAGCAAUGAGCACCCUGGCACCGAGAUCUUGGUUUCUAAAUACCAUGCACACCAGGCGUCUUUCAUUUCAUUUCCAAAGAACCAGGGCUCUUUAGAGAAAAAGCUGAUUCUGGGGCUGGGGCUCGGGAAGAAUGAGUCUGGAGCAUAUUGUUAAUACCAGAAAGAAAGUACUUAAAGAAGGAUGAGAUUAUGUCACCAGAACAUAAGAGCCAGCCUGAAAGGGUUCCCACAGGACAAAGUUGGGACUGUGUAACCAUAAAAUAAUAAGAGUACUGUAUUAUAAGCCCCUGAAUAAGAACUUCUGAGCUCAUACUGACAUAAAUAAGUAGGCAAGAAGGGUAAAGCUGUCUUAGUACAGAAUGCCAACUAAUAAACAUAGAAGCAAAAGUAGAGUCAUGGCGUGAGUUGGCUAAAGAAAAAAAAAACAGAGUCAGAAAAUAAACAAUAAAGGCUAAAAGAGUAGUUGCAAAUUUAAUGAGGAACCAGACAUAUUGAUACAACGUCCUGUCCCUCCUGACAUGACCAAGGACACAUCCUUUCUGGGCUGCUUCUGACAAAAGUAUACAAUCCAAAUCUAAUAAUGAGGAUAUGUCAGGAAAAAAAACCACAAGAACUCACCUAUUUUUUAAAAAGUAACAAGAUCAAGAAAGACAAAGUUCAUCUGGUUAGAUAGAUGGUGGGAGAAAAAAAGAAGGGCAAAGGAAGGCAAAGGAGUAGACGGAAGGACAUGAAGAAACAUGACAACUAAAUGCAACACAACACACAGUCCUGGAUUGAUUGGAUUCUUGAUUCAGAAAAAAAAAAAAAGCCACAGGUACAUCAACAAAAUAAUUGACAGAAUUUAAAUUUGGUCUAAGGAUUAGCUAAUAGGCAAUAUCAAUGUCAAAUUUCCUGACUCAGAUAUUUAUUCUGGGUUAUAUAUAAGAACAUUGUUGAUCUCAGGAAACACACAUUGAAAUUUUAUAGGGGAAGAGUAUGAGGACUCAAAGUUACUCUCCAAUGUUUCAGGGGAAAACAGAGGGAGAGAGAAAAAAUGGCAAAGCAAGUGGGACAACAGGUAAGCAAGUGGUGAAUAAGUGUGAAGAGUAUACAGCCAUUCCUUCUACUGUUCUUGCAACUUUUCUGUAGGUUUGAUAAAUCCAAGAUAAAAGAUUACCAAAACACACGCACAUACACAUUACUGUAAUUAUUCUCUAUGAGGAUACAGUAGCUCAGUGAUUUUUCUUUUUCUUUUUUUUUUUUUUUGGAGACGCCCAGCUAAUUUUUGUAUUUUUAGUAAAGACAGGGUUUCACCAUGUUGGCCAGGCUGGUCUUGAACUCCUGACCUCAGGUAAUCCACCCACCUUGGCCUCCCAAAGUGCUGGGAUUACAGGCCUGAGUCACCAUGCACAGCCCAUUAUUUAUCAAAUGAUUUUUUUUUUUUUUUUUUGAGACCCAGUCUUGCUCUGUCACCCAGGCUGCAGUGCAGUGGCGCGACCUUGGCUCACUGCAAGCUCCACCUCCCGGGUUCACGCCAUUCUACUGCCUCAGCCUCCCAAGUAGCUGGGACUACAGGCGCCGGCCACCAGGCCUGGCUAAUUUUUUCUAUUUUUCAGUGGAGACGAGGUUUCACUGUGUUAGCCAGGAUGGUCUCUAUCUCCUGACCUCGUGAUCUGCCCGCCUUGGCCUCCCAAAGUGCUGGGAUUACAGGUGCGAGCCACCACGCCCAGCCACCUCAGCGAUUGCUUGGUCACAAAAUUACUAAGAACCAGGCCUUGAACCUGAAUCCAGGCCUUCUGACAAUAGAUCUUUCCAGUGUCCCUGCCCUGUCACUUAUCAAUGAAGAAAUCACCCCCUUAGGCCAUAUUGCUGAACAAUGAACCAAGUGAUUGAGAACUGUGGGGGGAAAUCCUAAAGUUUUUAAAGCACUGGUAGUUACCUGUCAUGACGACCUACUUAGCCAUCUUGUUUGGACACAAAGGAACUGACACAUACUUCAAUCUGAAAGCUGUACUUCCAAAUUGAUGGGGCCCAAAGAAAGAGGGGUAAAAAGCAACAUUUACAUGAAACAAGGAUGUUUUCUAGGAGCCCCAUUCAAUUUCCAAACUGGUAAGUGCUGCGUCUGAUAGCAGGUACUCAGCCCAGCACCACCGCUCUACUGAAUACUUCUUUCCUUUGCAUCUCCUGUGUCUGUGCUUAACAGGGCUGAUAAUUAUGCCAGGUGGAUUCACCUAGGAUGAUCUAUUUCAAUUAAAUUGUGACUGACCUUAAUAUAGUGAAGACAUAUAAUAGAACCAUUUAACUUACACGAAUUCAUCUACUUGUAAAUGUAAUAUGCAUGCAAGUAUACAUAAUAUAAGCAUAUGUACUUAAGUGAUAUGGCCAAAUAUUGCACUUCCUGCAUAAGCCUAAGCCAUGGAAUGGGUGUGAGAUGCACUGUUCUCUCAGGGAUAUCUUACUUUAUGUGCUUCCCCUAAUAUGAGCAUGUCCUUGCUGAGUAUGACAUAGCAUUUAAAGAAAUUAGAAUAAAGAUGCUAACUAAAACAGGUUUUUAGUUAAAAAGCAAUAAAGGAGAAUCCUCAUCCAAAAAUGGAAAUGAAUAGUAGGUGAGUGAGGAGUGGGAAGGACAGGAAAAUAAGAGACAGGUGAAUGGGAGCCAUGGUUUCGACUCCAGGUGCAAGGGAGCCUAAGCGACAGGCUCUGCUUGAAGCUGCGAGCCUGGGGUGAAGCCUGGAACUGGAAACUUCUGCCCAUUCCCUCUGCUAGGCCUCGGACUAAACCUAACAGAAACAGGCAAGACAAGGUGGGAAAGAUGAGUACAGGGAACACAGAGGACUUUUAGGGCAGUGAAAAUACUCUGCAUGAUACUAUAAUGGUGGAAUACAUGUCUUCAUACGUUUGUCCAAACCCACAGAUCAUGCAACACCAAGAAUGAACCCUAAUGUAAACUAUGGGUUUCAGGUGAUGUGGAUAUGUCAGUGUAAUGUGGGCUCACCGAUGGUAACAGAUGCACUGGUCUGGUGGGGGAUGUUGAUAGUAGGAGAAGCAAUGCGUGUGUAGGGGCAGGGGAUAGAUGGGAAAUCUCUCUACCUUCCUCUCACUUUUGCUGGGAAAUUAAAGUUUCUCUUAAAAAAUUAAGUCUCUUAAAAAAUUCAUUUGUUAAAAAACAAUCAAAAACCGGGAAAAUAUUACAAAUAAAAUAUCAUUGCAUAAAAGACUCAGGCAAAAUGAGAGAUCUAUGACAUUCACAGAUGGGAGGAUGAGAAAUCCUAAGCUAACCUAGAAAUUCAAUGUCCAGGCUCCUUAGUUAGCCAUUGGAGGCACUCUGGCCUGGUCCCUGCCAACAUCCCUGGCCUUGCUUCUUCAAAUGGCCCAACAGCCAGUGCUGCCAUCUUCCCUGCCUCCAACCUUGUGCUCCUAUAGCACCCCCUACAGCCUGCUCUCCACAUUGCAAGCAGGAUGGUCCUGCUGAAACAAGUCUGAUCACAUCACUGCCCAAACUGGCCAAUGGCAUCUCAUCUCACUUGAGUAAAAGCCCAAGGCCUCAGCACAGGCCACCAGGCCAUGUGGCCUGUCCUCUUCUCCCGUCACUCUCCCAUCCCCCUUGCUCAAAGGAGUCAAGCCUGAUCCUUCCUCAUGGCCUCUGCACUCUACUCCUUCCAUGCUGCUCCUCUCCCCAGAGCAGCAGAUCUUACAUCCUUCAGUGCUGACACCAUCGAGUCCUCCCUGCCCAUCCUGGAUAAAGCAGCAUUCCUCCCACCAGUCUCCAUCCCCCUUACUCUGACCUAUUUUGCUCAACAGCACUGACCACAAUGUGAGCCAACACACUGUCUUCUCUGACAGAACAAAUGUUCCACAAGGACAGAGACUUUGUUUUGAUGGCUUGAUAUUUAUUUUUAAAGCACCAAAACAGUACCAUCUCCUUCCAGACACUAGGUGAAAAUAUAAGGAACAGAUGAACAUUGCAAGCAGAUGAACAGGUGAACAUAUACACAGACUCACUGCAGUGGCUGCCUCUGGAGGGAACAGGACUGUGAGAGCUGGUUAAAGAGAACUCUACUUUUAUCUUUAUGUUUUGUUUCUUUAAAAAAAAAAGUGGAAAGAUGACUUCAGUAUGGUGGGAAUGGAGAUAAUUAUUGUCUGUCCUUUUUGCUUAUUUUUCAAAUUUUUAUUUACAGUAUACUUCCUCUGAUGCUCAAACACGUGCCCUGUUUCAAUACUGGUAGAAAACUGGUAGUGCUAGACACACUAAGAACAAUAUAAUACUGAAUUUUACAUAUGAUUUAAAAUGAUGUCAAAGUAAAUUUUGACUAUAUGUGACUAUAGCCUUAACUGACAACUUUAGUAUUAACCCUCUUUAAAGUUGAGACUCACAGCAUUUAGCAACAUGGUGACUUAAAAGCGAACUACAUGUAGAACAGUUUCUUCAUUUAGAUAAAGAUUUCUGAAAGACCAAUCUUGUGUAUAAAAUUAAGUUAAUCAAAAUCCCUUUUCUCCAGUGCCAUCUGGUGGAAAGAAGAGGCAACCUCACCUGUACCUGCCACAAAAUAACCACAGCUGUGGUUAUCAGAGCAACAUUCUCUCCCCCCCAACCACCCCGCCUUCCCUGCCCGCAGAGCACCCUCUGUCAUCCCCUCUGUCACCUAGGCUGGAGUGAAGUGGUGCGAUCUCGGCUCACUGCAACCUCCACCUCCCGGGUUCAAGCGAUUCUCCUGCCUCAACCUCCCAAGUAGCUGGGAUUACAGGCGCCUGCUACCACGCCUGGCUUUUUUGUAUUUGUAGUAGAGACAGGGUUUCACCAUUGUUGGCCAGGCUGGUCUAGAAUUCCUGACCUUGUGAUCCGCCCGCCUCAGCCUCCCAAAGUGCUGGGAUUACAGGUGUGAGCCACUGGGCCCGGCCCAGAGCACCAUUCUUUACAAAGAAGGCCCCUCUUUUAUUCUGAUUACUGUGUGGUGUUCUGUUAACUGUUUACUUUCUUUAGAGCCUUCCUCAAACUGGAAAUUCUUCAGCCUACAGGUUAGAUAAGAAGCAAGUGGAUAUUCUUCAUUUUUUUGGCUUUCCUGGUUUCCAUUGACUUGACUUUGGCAAGGCAUUAUUUAGAAAAGGCUGUUCUUCUAUCUUCUGCUCCAAGAUUCUUUCUUUACUGUAUUUAAAUCAAAUGUUUUAACUUCUUCCCCCAGACCAUUCUGCAAUCAUAAUCUGUAUUCAUCCACAUUUCAAGCCCUCUAGAAUAAAAAAUUCCAAUAGUUGAUUUAUACGUAAAACAUGUUAGUGUUAUUUUGCUUUACAUAAACUUAUAAGGAUUUUUUAUUUAAAGGAUUUAAAAAU
This 5811-nucleotide long non-coding RNA is filed under the name Homo sapiens (human). Its description in RNAcentral is "HSALNT0184510". Lineage: Eukaryota; Metazoa; Chordata; Mammalia; Primates; Hominidae. The record is from RNAcentral.